AGCCACAUCAGGUUAAAACACCGGUUCCUGUACAAUCACUGAAGUUAAGCAACAUUGAGCCUGGUUAGUACCUAGAUAGGUGACCACUUGGAGGUACAGGUGGUGUA
Molecule: non-coding RNA, 107 nt
Organism: Acanthosepion pharaonis
Lineage: Eukaryota; Metazoa; Mollusca; Cephalopoda; Sepiida; Sepiidae
Source: the annotation of a GenBank genome assembly